AUGAUUCCCAACCUCUCCGGUCUCCGCCGUCGAGAACCACUUCGGCACCGCCGCGGCCGGCAGCGAAGACUUCGGCGGCCUCUUCUCCGCCGACAUCGACGACCAGCUCGCCCUCGAAUUCCCAACCUUUCCGCCCUAAAGAACCACUUCGGCGCCGCCGCGGCCGGCAGCGACGACUUCAGCGGCCUCUUCUCAGCCGACCAGCUCGCCCUCGAGUUCCCCACAUGGAGCCACGUGCGUGAGCCUUCCCCUCCCUCAAUCCCCUUUUCUCUCGGCCGGCCUCUGAUCCGUUUGCGCCCCUAUUUCGUUUCCCGGUGGCAGUUCGAUGGGUUCCAGAAGGCGACCAAGGAGAUGGUGAACAACAAGAAGGGGACGACCACGCUCUCCUUCAUCUUCGACAAGGCGUCAUCGUCGCCACCGACUCCCGGGCCAGCAUGGGCGGGUACACAUGAUAUUAUAUUUAUCUUCUUCAGCGUCUACUAUGUUAUCCAUCUGUCUAUCCACGUCCCAUAG
RNAcentral lists this ribosomal RNA (513 nucleotides) under Triticum aestivum (bread wheat). Its description in RNAcentral is "partial small subunit ribosomal RNA". The record is from RNAcentral. Lineage: Eukaryota; Viridiplantae; Streptophyta; Magnoliopsida; Poales; Poaceae.